AUUGAACGCUGGCGGCAGGCCUAACACAUGCAAGUCGAACGGUAACAGGAAACAGCUUGCUGUUUCGCUGACGAGUGGCGGACGGGUGAGUAAUGUCUGGGAAACUGCCUGAUGGAGGGGGAUAACUACUGGAAACGGUAGCUAAUACCGCAUAACGUCGCAAGACCAAAGAGGGGGACCUUCGGGCCUCUUGCCAUCGGAUGUGCCCAGAUGGGAUUAGCUAGUAGGUGGGGUAACGGCUCACCUAGGCGACGAUCCCUAGCUGGUCUGAGAGGAUGACCAGCCACACUGGAACUGAGACACGGUCCAGACUCCUACGGGAGGCAGCAGUGGGGAAUAUUGCACAAAGGGCGCAAGCCUGAUGCAGCCAUGCCGCGUGUAUGAAGAAGGCCUUCGGGUUGUAAAGUACUUUCAGCGGGGAGGAAGGGAGUAAAGUUAAUACCUGUACUCAUUGACGUUACCCGCAGAAGAAGCACCGGCUAACUCCGUG
Molecule: ribosomal RNA, 490 nt
Filed under: uncultured bacterium
Lineage: Bacteria
Description: partial 16S ribosomal RNA
Rfam family: Bacterial small subunit ribosomal RNA
Source: RNAcentral